AGCUAUACAUGCAAGUCGAGCGAGCCGAACUAAUUGAUUACCUUCGGGUAUGAAGUUAGGGAAGCGAGCGGCGGAUGGGUGAGUAACACGUGGGUAACCUACCCUAUAGUCUGGGAUACCACUUGGAAACAGGUGCUAAUACCGGAUAAAAGGAGAGAUCACAUGAUUUCUUUUUGAAAGGCGGCGUAAGCUGUCGCUAAAGGAUGGACCCGCGGUGCAUUAGCUAGUUGGUAAGGUAACGGCUUACCAAGGCAACGAUGCAUAGCCGAGUUGAGAGACUGAUCGGCCACAUUGGGACUGAGACACGGCCCAAACUCCUACGGGAGGCAGCAGUAGGGAAUCUUCCACAAUGGACGCAAGUCUGAUGGAGCAACGCCGCGUGAGUGAAGAAGGUUUUCGGAUCGUAAAGCUCUGUUGUUGGUGAAGAAAGAUAGUGAGAGUAACUGCUCAUUAUUUGCCGGUAAUCGACCAGAAAGUCACGGCUAACUACGUGCCAGCAGCCGCGGUAAUACGUAGGUGGCAAGCGUUGUCCGGAUUUAUUGGGCGUAAAGCGAGCGCAGGCGGAAAGAUAAGUCAGAUGUGAAAGCCCUCGGCUUAACCGAGGAAUAGCAUCGGAAACUGUCUUUCUUGAGUGCAGAAGAGGAGAGUGGAACUCCAUGUGUAGCAGUGGAAUGCGUAGAUAUAUGGAAGAACACCAGUGGCGAAGGCGGCUCUCUGGUCUGUAACUGACGCUGAGGC
Molecule: ribosomal RNA, 738 nt
Filed under: uncultured bacterium
Lineage: Bacteria
Description: bacterial SSU rRNA
Rfam family: Bacterial small subunit ribosomal RNA
Source: RNAcentral